RNAcentral lists this ribosomal RNA (282 nucleotides) under uncultured Bacteroidota bacterium. Its description in RNAcentral is "uncultured Bacteroidetes bacterium partial 16S ribosomal RNA". It matches the Rfam family "Bacterial small subunit ribosomal RNA", at positions 59 to 339 of the family's 1533-position model. Lineage: Bacteria; Pseudomonadati; Bacteroidota. The record is from RNAcentral.
AAGUCGGGGGGCAGCACGGGUAGCAAUAUCUGGUGGCGACCGGCGCACGGGUGCGUAACACGUAUACAAUCUACCCUUAACAGGGGGAUAGCCCUCCGAAAGGAGGAUUAAUACCCCAUAAUAAAUUGAAUGGCAUCAUUUGAUUUUGAAAGUUCCGACGGUUAAGGAUGAGUAUGCGUCUGAUUAGCUAGUUGGUGAGGUAAAGGCUCACCAAGGCAACGAUCAGUAAGGGAUCUGAGAGGACUACCCCCCACACUGGUACUGAGACACGGACCAGACUCC